Molecule: unclassified non-coding RNA, 303 nt
Filed under: Hevea brasiliensis (rubber tree)
Lineage: Eukaryota; Viridiplantae; Streptophyta; Magnoliopsida; Malpighiales; Euphorbiaceae
Source: RNAcentral
GAGUAUUUUGAGCUUAAGUUUCAUACAGCCUAGAAAAUUAGUGAAGAUAUGAAUUGGGGAAAUGAUAUAGUUGAGUAACAAUAUUAAUUAAUUUAUUAAAAUACUAUAUUUGCAGGAAACCAAAGAAACAUCAAGAAUGCAACAUCUGUUAAAACACAAAUCUGAUUAAGAUAUUUAAAAUUUUCUCCUCAUGUUGAAGUAAUUGAUGAGAAAAGGAGAGGUAGGAAGAAAACGCAAGCAUAGGUGAUAGUAAAAAAACUUACUUCCUCAUAACAAAAAUGGUUUACAAUGAGGAUAAAAGAU